GAUGAACGCUAGCGGCAGGCUUAACACAUGCAAGUCGAGGGGUAGGAGAAGCUUGCUUUUCUGAGACCGGCGCACGGGUGCGUAACGCGUAUGCAAUCUACCUUUCACAGAGGGAUAGCCCAGAGAAAUUUGGAUUAAUACCUCAUAGUAUAAUUGAAUGGCAUCAUUUAAUUAUUAAAGAUUUAUCGGUGAAAGAUGAGCAUGCGUCCCAUUAGCUAGUUGGUAUGGUAACGGCAUACCAAGGCAACGAUGGGUAGGGGUCCUGAGAGGGAGAUCCCCCACACUGGUACUGAGACACGGACCAGACUCCUACGGGAGGCAGCAGUGAGGAAUAUUGGACAAUGGGCGCAAGCCUGAUCCAGCCAUGCCGCGUGCAGGAUGACGGUCCUAUGGAUUGUAAACUGCUUUUAUACAGGAAGAAACACCUCUACGUGUAGAGACUUGACGGUACUGUAAGAAUAAGGAUCGGCUAACUCCGUGCCAGCAGCCGCGGUAAUACGGAGGAUCCAAGCGUUAUCCGGAAUCAUUGGGUUUAAAGGGUCCGUAGGCGGUCAGGUAAGUCAGUGGUGAAAGCCCAUCGCUCAACGGUGGAACGGCCAUUGAUACUGUCUGACUUGAAUUAUUAGGAAGUAACUAGAAUAUGUAGUGUAGCGGUGAAAUGCUUAGAGAUUACAUGGAAUACCAAUUGCGAAGGCAGGUUACUACUAAUAUAUUGACGCUGAUGGACGAAAGCGUGGGCAGCGAACAGGAUUAGAUACCCUGGUAGUCCACGCCGUAAACGAUGGAUACUAGCUGUUGGGCGCAAGUUCAGUGGCUAAGCGAAAGUGAUAAGUAUCCCACCUGGGGAGUACGAACGCAAGUUUGAAACUCAAAGGAAUUGACGGGGGCCCGCACAAGCGGUGGAGCAUGUGGUUUAAUUCGAUGAUACGCGAGGAACCUUACCAAGGCUUAAAUGUAGAUUGACCGUUUGGAAACAGAAC
This 980-nucleotide ribosomal RNA is filed under the name uncultured bacterium. RNAcentral's name for it is "bacterial SSU rRNA". It matches the Rfam family "Bacterial small subunit ribosomal RNA", at positions 28 to 1012 of the family's 1533-position model. The record is from RNAcentral.